CCUACGGGUGGCAGCAGUGAGGAAUAUUGGUCAAUGGGCGAGAGCCUGAACCAGCCAAGCCGCGUGAAGGAUGAAGGAUCUAUGGUUUGUAAACUUCUUUUAUAUGGGAAUAAAGUGAGGUACGUGUUCCUUUUUGUAUGUACCGUAUGAAUAAGCAUCGGCUAACUCCGUGCCAGCAGCCGCGGUAAUACGGAGGAUGCGAGCGUUAUCCGGAUUUAUUGGGUUUAAAGGGUGCGUAGGUGGUUAGUUAAGUUAGCGGUGAAAGUCUGUGGCUCAACCAUGAAAUUGCCGUUGAAACUGGCUGACUUGAGUAUAUUUGAGGUAGGCGGAAUGCGUGGUGUAGCGGUGAAAUGCAUAGAUAUCACGCAGAACUCCGAUUGCGAAGGCAGCUUACUAAACUAUAACUGACGCUGAGGCACGAAAGCGUGGGGAGCAAACAGGAUUAGAUACCCCAGUAGUC
This 460-nucleotide ribosomal RNA is filed under the name uncultured bacterium. RNAcentral describes it as "partial 16S ribosomal RNA". It matches the Rfam family "Bacterial small subunit ribosomal RNA", at positions 338 to 795 of the family's 1533-position model. The record is from RNAcentral.